UUGGAGGGCAAGUCUGGUGCCAGCAGCCGCGGUAAUUCCAGCUCCAAUAGCGUAUAUUAAAGUUGUUGCAGUUAAAAAGCUCGUAGUUGAAUUUCGGGAUCAAUCUGUUGGUCGUGCCUUUGGUACGUACUAGCUUAUUGAUUUCUCCCUUCUGACGAACCAUGAUGUCAUUAAUUUGGUGUCAUGGGGAAUCAGGACUGUUACUUUGAAAAAAUUAGUGUUUAAAGCAGGCUCACGCUUGAAUACAUUAGCAUGGAAUAAUGAAAUAGGACGUUUUGAUUCUAUUUUGUUGGUUUCUAGGAUCGACGUAAUGAUUAAUAGGGAUAGUUGGGGGCAUUAGUAUUCAAUUGUCAGAGGUGAAAUUCUUGGAUUUAUUGAAGACUAACUACUGCGAAAGCAUUUGCCAAGGAUGUUUUCAUUAAUCAAGAACGAAAGUUAGGGGAUCGAAGACGAUCAGAUACCGUCGUAGUCUUAACCAUAAACUAUGCCGACUAGGGAUCGGAUGAUGUUAAUUUUUAAUGACUCAUUCGGCGCCUUACGGGAAACCAAAGUGUUUGGGUUC
RNAcentral lists this ribosomal RNA (562 nucleotides) under uncultured Glomeromycotina. Its description in RNAcentral is "SSU rRNA". It matches the Rfam family "Eukaryotic small subunit ribosomal RNA", at positions 548 to 1114 of the family's 1831-position model. The record is from RNAcentral. Lineage: Eukaryota; Fungi; Glomeromycota.